This 254-nucleotide ribosomal RNA is filed under the name uncultured bacterium. Its description in RNAcentral is "partial 16S ribosomal RNA". It matches the Rfam family "Bacterial small subunit ribosomal RNA", at positions 524 to 777 of the family's 1533-position model. The record is from RNAcentral.
UACGGAGGGGGCUAGCGUUGUUCGGAAUUACUGGGCGUAAAGCGCACGUAGGCGGAUCAGCAAGUUAGGGGUGAAAUCCCGGGGCUCAACCCCGGAACCGCCUUUAAGACUGUUGGUCUGGAGUCCGAGAGAGGUGAGUGGAAUUCCGAGUGUAGAGGUGAAAUUCGUAGAUAUUCGGAGGAACACCAGUGGCGAAGGCGGCUCACUGGCUCGGUACUGACGCUGAGGUGCGAAAGCGUGGGGAGCAAACAGGG